Non-coding RNA from Phoenix dactylifera (date palm), 731 nucleotides. The record is from RefSeq and is a predicted model, not a curated record. Lineage: Eukaryota; Viridiplantae; Streptophyta; Magnoliopsida; Arecales; Arecaceae.
AAGCAAACGUGUGGAGAAAGAGUCAAGCAUGUGAUGUUUAUUUUCAAGGCGAGAGUUUUCAGAUCUGUGCUCAUAAAAUUCUUCAAGGUUUUCUUUUCCCUUCGAUAAACAACAAAGAAAGAGGGUGCGGCAGAGAAAAAGGACAAAUGAAGAAGGGGACCUCCACUCGGCCCAUGCCUUCCACACUUAUUCCUCCUUCCUUCGGCGAAUCUACAUGUCGACGGAGGCGCCCAGGAGGGCUGGCGGUAAGUUGUGCCGGCAGAGGAGCCGGCUCCAGAUGCACGCGCCGAGCUCGAUCCAGGUGGGGCCCGCGCCGGCAAGCGUCGCGGAGUGGAACGUGGCGAUCCCGCUCCUCUCGCCGCUGGACAUCUCGACGAUCCCUAGGAUCGGGGACCGGACGACGGACGCCGAGGUGGGGCCGCCCCCAGAGGAGGUCCGGUCGCCGGACGGCGAGAAGAAGGAGGCGGAGGAGGGAACCCGCCGGUGGACGGCGUGGCAGCAUCCGGCGGCCCCGUUCUACUACGAGCCGGUACCCGGAAACAAGCCGGCCUUCGUCGUGCCGCGCUGCACGUGACGUGACCCGCGGGGUAUCGUAACGUAGGAGCUAAUCAUUAAUCGUUUUGCGCAGUUCGAAUUUUUCUCUUUUUAGCCCCCCUGUUUGUGAACUUAACUUUGUAAUUAAUUAAUGCUAUUAGAUUAAUCAAAUAGAAAUAUAUAUAUUUUUUUUGGCA